UACGGGGGGGGCAAGCGUUGUUCGGAAUUACUGGGCGUAAAGGGCGCGUAGGCGGCUUUUCAAGUCGAUUGUGAAAUCCCCGGGCUUAACCUGGGAACUGCAGUCGAGACUGUCUAGCUAGAGUAUGGGAGAGGGAAGUGGAAUUUCAGGUGUAGCGGUGAAAUGCGUAGAUAUCUGAAGGAACAUCAGUGGCGAAAGCGACUUCCUGGACCAAUACUGACGCUCAUGUGCGAAAGCGUGGGGAGCAAACAGG
This 253-nucleotide ribosomal RNA is filed under the name uncultured bacterium. RNAcentral describes it as "partial 16S ribosomal RNA". It matches the Rfam family "Bacterial small subunit ribosomal RNA", at positions 524 to 776 of the family's 1533-position model. The record is from RNAcentral.